AUCUUCCUUAACUCUUUUUUCAUGUGAAUCUGAAGGUCUGUCUGUCUGUCUGUCUGUCUGUUGCUAUCUUCCUUAACUCUUUUUUCACGUGAAUCUGAAGGUCUAUCUGUCUGUCUGUCUGUCUGUUGCUAUCUUCCUUAACUCUUUUUUCACGUGAAUCUGAAGGUCUGUCUGUCUGUCUGUCUGUCUGUUGCUAUCUUCCUUAACUCUUUUUUCACGUGAAUCUGAAGGUAUAUCUGUCUGUCUGUCUGUCUGUCUGUUGCUAUCUUCCUUAACUCUUUUUUCACGUGAAUCUGAAGGUCUG
This is a long non-coding RNA of Eriocheir sinensis (Chinese mitten crab), 304 nucleotides long. RefSeq lists it as uncharacterized. The transcript is spliced from 4 exons. Lineage: Eukaryota; Metazoa; Arthropoda; Malacostraca; Decapoda; Varunidae. The record is from RefSeq and is a predicted model, not a curated record.